This 536-nucleotide ribosomal RNA is filed under the name Siphonophorae sp. CN16. RNAcentral's name for it is "SSU rRNA". It matches the Rfam family "Eukaryotic small subunit ribosomal RNA", at positions 34 to 566 of the family's 1831-position model. Lineage: Eukaryota; Metazoa; Cnidaria; Hydrozoa; Siphonophorae. The record is from RNAcentral.
GUCUCAAAGAUUAAGCCAUGCAUGUCUAAGUAUAAGCACUUGUACUGUGAAACUGCGAAUGGCUCAUUAAAUCAGUUAUCGUUUAUUUGAUUGUACUUUACUACAUGGAUACCUGUGGUAAUUCUAGAGCUAAUACAUGCGAAAAAUCCCAACUUCUGGAAGGGAUGUAUUUAUUAGAUUAAAAACCAAUGCGAAUUUUCGGAUUCGUUUUCUUGGUGAUUCAUGAUAACUUUUCGAAUCGCAUGGCCUAGCGCCGGCGAUAUUUCAUUCAAAUUUCUGCCCUAUCAACUGUCGAUGGUAAGGUAGUGGCUUACCAUGGUUAUAACGGGUGACGGAGAAUUAGGGUUCGAUUCCGGAGAGGGAGCCUGAGAAACGGCUACCACAUCUAAGGAAGGCAGCAGGCUCGAAAAUUACCCAAUCCCGACUCGGGGAGGUAGUGACAAGAAAUAACGAGACGGGGUCUUAAUAGGUCUCGCAAUUGGAAUGAGUACAAUUUAAAUCCUUUAACGAGGAUCAAUUGGAGGGCAAGUCUGGUG